CAGUCGCCGCGGUAAUACAGAGGGUGCGAGCGUUAAUCGGAUUUACUGGGCGUAAAGCGUGCGUAGGCGGCUUCUUAAGUCGGAUGUGAAAUCCCUGAGCUUAACUUAGGAAUUGCAUUCGAUACUGGGAAGCUAGAGUAUGGGAGAGGAUGGUAGAAUUCCAGGUGUAGCGGUGAAAUGCGUAGAGAUCUGGAGGAAUACCGAUGGCGAAGGCAGCCAUCUGGCCUAAUACUGACGCUGAGGCACGAAAGCGUGGGGAGCAAACAGGAUUAGAGACCCCAGUAUCCCUGUCUCUUAUACA
Molecule: ribosomal RNA, 301 nt
Filed under: uncultured bacterium
Lineage: Bacteria
Description: partial 16S ribosomal RNA
Rfam family: Bacterial small subunit ribosomal RNA
Source: RNAcentral